Molecule: long non-coding RNA, 459 nt
Organism: Bactrocera oleae (olive fruit fly)
Lineage: Eukaryota; Metazoa; Arthropoda; Insecta; Diptera; Tephritidae
Source: RefSeq, a predicted model, not a curated record
GUUAAAAACAUAAAAAAUAGAAUUAAGCAAAUAAUAUGCUUUGAUUUUCACAAAAUAACUUACGAAAAUAACACAAUAAAUUAAUCAUUUAAAAAAGUAAAAUAUUCUAAACAAGGGUUCCAAUAAUUACAGUUUGGCUUUCGAAACUGCACUUGCAUGCUAUGAUACGCAUAUAAUAUAUAUUCACACAACACUUGUCACGAAAGUUUCACUUAGGAAAAUCCUGCCUUAAAUUUUGCCUCGAACUCCACAGAUUUCGCCGACGCUAUUGAAAACACGCAGAAAUCUCAACUGAACUGUGGUCGACAAGCGCUGCCGCAAUGUGUUGGUCAGAGGCGACAACAAUAAAUGUGCAACGUUUGAGGAGAGCAAUUUGUGGCGUUAGAAAAACCGAUUAUUUUCGAAAUAUUUUUUGCAAAAAAAAAAAAUUAAAUAAUUUUUUGAAUUUUCUUUUCUGAA